Molecule: long non-coding RNA, 811 nt
Organism: Suricata suricatta (meerkat)
Lineage: Eukaryota; Metazoa; Chordata; Mammalia; Carnivora; Herpestidae
Exons: 4
Source: RefSeq, a predicted model, not a curated record
CUAGGUUUUGGGAGCCAGGAAACACUCUUGUCUUUCCUGCCACCCUGAAAAGGGCACCAGUAAUCUGUGAGAGUUACCUGUCUGAACCUCCUGAGGCUUUGCAAUGAGCAUGCACCAAAGAACAAAGGAGGGACUGAAAGUCUGGAUCAUCUCAGGAAAUGUAUAUUCAUUCCAAUCAGACUACUUUUUGCCUUACAUGGGCAUAGGCAAAUCUGGGGGACCCUGGACCUGUUGGAGCUGGACUCUGGCACCCACUGUUUCAAGAACAUUGAUUAAAGCCUUGCUUUACUGUGCUCAGAGUCUCCACAUCCCUCCUUUGAUGGUUUACCUCUCGACUCAGGCAAAUGAAACCAGAAAAUACUCUUAGGUGAUGGUAACUUCCCUGACAAGACCUCCUGCUGACCCAGACCACCCAGACCUUUUGAGCUGAACCCCUGACUCAUGCCUGCACAGAUGGAGUAUGAAGUAACCUCUGGAAUGAUCUAACAUUACCUUUACCUCAUUAUUAUACUAAAAUCUCUGUUCAAGGAGAAGCCUCAGCCUCAUUUGUGGUAGAGCUCCUCCCUAAAAAAUGUGGUGGAAAUCCUCAAGACAAGGGAAGGCAAUCUGGCUAUGUGUGUGCCCAAGAUUACUCAUGACUCUGUAACAUAGACUUUCCAUUCAGAAUGAAUGUUACCAUAUAUAGGAGACAAAAGUGAAAAAUUGCAUAAAAGGGAACCUCACCCCCCCAACCCCACUGCACUCGGAGCUCACCCUUUUCAGUCUUAGCCCACUGAGCCUGUGCCAACACGAAUAAAGUGACUUCUUCGAA